UACGGGGGGGGCAAGCGUUGUUCGGAAUUACUGGGCGUAAAGGGCUUGUAGGUGGCCAACUAAGUCAGACGUGAAAUCCCUCGGCUUAACCGGGGAACUGCGUCUGAUACUGGAUGGCUAGAGUGUGGGAGAGGGAUGCGGAAUUCCAGGUGUAGCGGUGAAAUGCGUAGAUAUCUGGAGGAACACCGGUGGCGAAGGCGGCAUCCUGGACCACGACUGACACUGAGGAGCGAAAGCGUGGGGAGCGAACAGG
This 253-nucleotide ribosomal RNA is filed under the name uncultured bacterium. RNAcentral's name for it is "partial 16S ribosomal RNA". It matches the Rfam family "Bacterial small subunit ribosomal RNA", at positions 524 to 776 of the family's 1533-position model. The record is from RNAcentral.